GAUAAGACAAAGAAGUAUAAUAGAGAAAGUAGUAAAGGUCAAAAUGUCUCUUAGUCAUUUAAGGUCUAACAUGCAACAGGCCAUGGAAAGCAUAUGCCUGAUUUCAUGUGAGUUGAAGAAAUGACAAGCAUUUGGGUCCAUCUUGGAGAAAGAAGGUUGGCCUCUCAACUUAAAGAAAAAAGGACAACAUGUACAUCAGAAUGUGACAGUCCAGCUUUCUGUCUCCAUGAAAUUGGGGGACUAUCUAACUAAGUUUCUAGGACAAUGCUUGGCUGACAUCUGAGCUUGCGUGCUUUCCAUCACAAAUUCUCAA
This 313-nucleotide unclassified non-coding RNA is filed under the name Hevea brasiliensis (rubber tree). The record is from RNAcentral. Lineage: Eukaryota; Viridiplantae; Streptophyta; Magnoliopsida; Malpighiales; Euphorbiaceae.